Molecule: long non-coding RNA, 1589 nt
Filed under: Lathyrus oleraceus (garden pea)
Lineage: Eukaryota; Viridiplantae; Streptophyta; Magnoliopsida; Fabales; Fabaceae
Description: Pisum sativum (pea) long non-coding RNA (PSAT_LNC034503)
Source: RNAcentral
GUCGCCGUUCCCAUCAUCUUCACACAAAUCCCGCCGGCGACAUCUUCCGUCUCCACUACCUUCAAACCCUUAACUCCACACCGCCGUCACCUCCAUUAAAACCACCGUCGUCCUCCUUACGAGUACAUCUUCAAAACCUCAGCCACCACACCACCCUCGUCAAAACCCAUUUACCAAACUCACCCUCGCGCCUCAACCAUCCCCUAAAUCUCUCGACGCAAAGCCACUCCAAGAAGUAUAUCUUACUGGGUUUUUCGCCCCUCUUGAUUUCUUGUGUACACGAAGGAUCCAUCGGCUCCCUUUCUUCCCUUUUUUUUCCUGAACUUUUCUUUUUUUCUGAAAAAAGUUGUUAAGAAAGAGGAAAGAAAGGAAAUCGAUUGGGAUAGGCUGUUUUCUGCUAUUGUGUUUUUGACUGUUUUUGCAGGAAAAAAGGAUAUCCACUGUUGGAGAUGAGAUCCAUGUGAUGGCCCCAAGAUUUACCCAAAUGCCUUCAUCCGACACUACGCUGUGAUAUCAGGAGUACGCCAGAUUUGCUAUUGGAGUAGGAUGAAGGCGGUUGAGUCAAACGCGAGGAAGCUUCAAAGGAUCGAAAGCAACAACACAACACAGCAACACAUAUCAUAUGAAUCGAGAAGAAAUGCAUGGCAAUCACAAAACAAACGACAGCUACUACUCAGUACCAAGUUCAGCAAGACACCAACAACGGUUUACCGACGGUAACAAUUCAAAAUUAAUUUUUCCUUUUAUUGUUUGUUGUUCAGAUUUUGCUUUAGGAACAAUUUGAUUAUAUUGUUUAUUUGUAGCAUUGUUGGUGUAUAUCUAUUAUGCUGCUGUAGUUCCGAUUAAUUCAUGAAAGUUGUAGCGAUUAUGUUAUAUUAAGUUGCUGCAAAUUUGCUGUCACAUAUAUGUCAAUUUGUUAUCAGAAAACUAUAGAUAUUCGUCUCAAUUUGAUUGCAUUGCGUAUCCACUAUUGCGUGAAAAUUUGUUUCGGUUUUGUACUCUUUUUAAAGUUGAAUUUGUUUCAGGCUGUGUGUUGUAAUAAUUUGGUACUACCGUAAAUAAUGGUACAAUUAGUAACUACCUACUGCAAGUUUUUCUUUCCCUUAACCAUGUAAUUUAGGUUGGUUUAUAUUGAAAGCUAAUAAUUAAAGCUUAUUUCUUAUUGGGGUACACAUUGGCUUUGCAAGCAGGUUCUGACUUUUCAAUGUUUACUUGAUGAUGAUUAUGAUAAGUUGUUUUAGUUAGGUUUCAUUUAAUUUUGUAUGUUGCUUGCUUGGUUUUUAAUAAAUUAUAUAUUUUGCAAGUAGUACUCAUCAUGUGUGUAAUUUUAUACUCCAUAAGCUAGUUAUUUAAAAUGGUGAAUUUGUUAGUAGUGGUAAGUGUUUACACCGAUGAUGGUUUGGUUUUCUGUUCCCAAGUUGGUGUUUUUGUAUCAUUAUGUAUAUGUUCUGCUGAAUUUUUUUACUACGUUUGCUUUGUGUGUUGCAACGAGUUUGUGAUUUUUGUAAUCAAAUUAAAGAUAAUUUUAAUUAUAUUAAGUAUUUGAUUUAAUCAAAUAGUUUUGAUAAUUAAGUUUGGUUAUAUUAAUU